Long non-coding RNA from Oncorhynchus tshawytscha (Chinook salmon), 1819 nucleotides. The record is from Ensembl. Lineage: Eukaryota; Metazoa; Chordata; Actinopteri; Salmoniformes; Salmonidae.
CAUGAGUUUUAUCUGAAAUACGAUCAUUUCAAAGAUUUUUGAUCAGAAAAUAAAAUAGUCAUAUCAAAACACUCUAUUCAGGUGAUUGUUCCACUUGGGAACUAAAAUGAUAAACCAGACAGGUAGUUUACAUUUAACUGGCCUUAUCAACACAGUAAUACUUUAUUACCUACAUUAUCUACCUGUAGCCUUUAUCUCACCACACAAGCUGAUUAGCAGGUCUACCAGUGAAUAGCCUCUGCCAAGUUCCCAACAACCUGAUAUUCUGGUUUUCAGAGGAAAUGGAAAGAGAGCCUGUGAGGGAUUCCAGUAGUGUCCUUUUUUCUCAGGUUGUUCAUUUUGUGGCCUAAUCAAAGAAACAGCAGAUACUGCCAAAUGAUUAGUUAAAACAUUUCAUCAAAUACCUUUUUGGAAUAUGUCUUGACAUUUUUAAUUAUACAAAUGAUCUAUGUUUCCAACCCAAAUAUGAAUAGCAACUACCGCUCUAUCAUUUAUUUCAGUUUCCUCCCUAUUUUAUCCUAUCAAUGCUUAGCAACAUUCCGCUUAUAAUUGGAGAACAAUAUCAGUACUUUUUCAGUGAUCUCCUGUGGUGCGUUGAUUCUUGUCUCAAAAAUAGGCUUCAUGUCACGGUAAUAGUAGACCCUGCGCUAAUGUUUGGAGUUGAAGUGGGUACGGAAACAGAAAGGACCCUAAGAAAUGGAACAAAUACUCUACCACCAUUAAGAAACAAGAAGGAAUUUGGGCCGGAUCAACAACCUCUCCCUCAAUGUCAGUAAGACCAAAGAGCUGAUCGUGGACUACACAUAGACGGGGCUCUGCCUUUUCACUGUACUCUUUUUCUUGCAUGUUAUCGCUGCUAAGACUGGUGUGUCUUUGUGCAGUGCUGGGAUACUGCUCUGUAGUUGCUGAUCGGAGUGACUAGGAAUCGGUGGGAAGUCAAUGCCACACCCACGUCGAGUCCCUCAAGGCUGAAGUCAGUGACUGUGUAUAUGUGUGUCAGAUUGGCUACCAUGGAGAUGGACUACUGGGUGAGGACAUUGACGAGUGUGUUACUGGCCUCCACGGCUGCCACUCAAAGGCACAUUACACAACACAGCAGCUGUGCGUGUCUGGAUGGCUACCUCGGCGACAGAGUUCAAUGAAAGGACAGCGACAAAUGCCAGACUACUGACCUCUGUACGAAUAGAGGAGGGCAAGUACAUAAGCGGCUUCAAUGGAAAUGGGUUUCAAGUGCACAGACAUUGACGAAAUGCACAAAACGUGGCAUCUGCCAUGGGAAUGCCGCCUGUCACAUCGACGUGGCUGUAGUGGAGCGGGUUGAGAGCUUCUCGGUGUCCACAUCACUAAGGACCUAUCAUGGUCCAAACACACCAACACAGUCGUGGAGAAGGCACGACAACACCUCUUCCCCCUCAGGAGGCUGAAAAUAUUUGGCAUGGGCCCUCAGAUCCUCAAAAAGUUCUACAGCUGCACCAUUGAGAGCAUCUUGACUGGCUGCAUUACCGCUUGAUAUGGCAACUGCUUGGCAUUCGACUGCACGGCGCUACAGAGGGUAGUGUGUACUGCCCAGUACAUCACUGGGGCCGAGAUCCCUGCCAUCAAGGACCUCUAUACCAGGCGGUGUCAGAGGAAGGCCCUAAAAAUUGUCAGACUCCAGCCACCCAAGUUAUAGACUGUUUUCUCUGCUACUGCACGGCAAGUGGUACCAGAGCACCAAGUAUGGGAGCAAAAGGCUCCUGAACAGCUUCUACCCCCAAGCCAUAAGACUGCUGAACAGUUGAUCAAAUGGUCACUGACUAUUUACAUUGACCCCCUUUUU